AUUGAUUCUGUUUCCCUCUUCCAGAGUGUGCCUUCAAGAUUGGGAUGAUGGAGAUAUAUGAGAGCAAGAGGAAGAGGAAGAGUGCAAUCCUCGCCGGCAAGGUGGAAGCCAUGACUUUGUGGUGGUGCCGACGAUGAAGAUGCAGCCACUCGAGAGAUCAGGAGUCUGGAGGCGACGAGGAGUCACAUACGGGAAAGAGACUCGUUGAUGUGGGAUGGGAUUGGAUAACACCGGUUGGGGGAGCGGCGACGAUGUAUGGGCCUAGAUAUGAUAGCACUGUGAUCAAUUGCUUACCCACCCAACCAAACAGUAAUUAAACAACGG
RNAcentral lists this long non-coding RNA (324 nucleotides) under Sorghum bicolor (sorghum). RNAcentral describes it as "long non-coding RNA (SBIC_LNC001955)". The record is from RNAcentral. Lineage: Eukaryota; Viridiplantae; Streptophyta; Magnoliopsida; Poales; Poaceae.